UCGCCCAGACCCUCCGAAUCGAAACUCCUGCGGCGCGCGCUGCCAGCCCGAGGGCCCCGCCGUCCAGGGGUCCCCUGACAUCUCACACAUGCGGACUGAAGCUGCGAGGAACGGAGAACCCGGCCAGGGUCACGGACGGGAGCGUCCGGACUCGGGUCGUGCCUGGCGCCUCCUUGAUGCCAGGCCCUGGGGAGACCUGUGGCCACAGAACCCAUGUUCUCCCUAGAGGUGGACAGGAGGCCCCUCUCCUACGCAGAAGCUGUCGUUCUUUCUUCUUAAACACCGUUUGCCCCUCCCUCCGCCCACCGAGCCAUCUCUGCCCCUCUCUACAGCAAAGCUUCCGCCAAGCCGGCCCUGCUCCCUGUCUACCUCUCCUGCCACCACCCACUCACACGUUUUAAAUACAAGCCGUCGGUUCUCAGA
Gorilla gorilla gorilla (western lowland gorilla) is the source of this 423-nucleotide long non-coding RNA. RefSeq lists it as uncharacterized. Lineage: Eukaryota; Metazoa; Chordata; Mammalia; Primates; Hominidae. The transcript has 2 exons. The record is from RefSeq and is a predicted model, not a curated record.